This 420-nucleotide ribosomal RNA is filed under the name uncultured bacterium. RNAcentral describes it as "bacterial SSU rRNA". It matches the Rfam family "Bacterial small subunit ribosomal RNA", at positions 356 to 773 of the family's 1533-position model. The record is from RNAcentral.
AAGGAAUAUUGGUCAAUGGAGGCAACUCUGAACCAGCCAUGCCGCGUGCAGGAUGACGGCCCUAUGGGUUGUAAACUGCUUUCGUACCAGAGAAAACCUACUCACGUGUGAGUAGCUGAUAGUAUGGUAAGAAUAAGCAUCGGCCAACUUCGUGCCAGCAGCCGCGGUAAGACGAAGGAUGCAAGCGUUAUCCGGAUUCAUUGGGUUUAAAGGGUGCGUAGGCGGACUUGUAAGUCAGUGGUGAAAUCUCUUCGCUUAACGAAGAAACUGCCAUUGAUACUGCAGGUCUAGAGUAUAGAUGACGUUGGCGGAAUAUGACAUGUAGUGGUGAAAUACUUAGAUAUGUCAUAGAACACCGAUUGCGAAGGCAGCUAACGAAACUAUAACUGACGCUGAGGCACGAAAGUGCGGGGAUCAAAC